ACUCAUGGCGGACGGGUGAGUAACGCGUAAAGAACUUGCCCUUUAGACUGGGAUAACAGAGGGAAACUUCUGAUAAUACUGGAUAAGUUAGUAUAUCGCAUGAUAUACAAAUGAAAGCUACGGCACUAAAGGAGAGCUUUGCGUCCUAUUAGCUAGUUGGUAAGGUAAGAGCUUACCAAGGCGAUGAUAGGUAGCCGGCCUGAGAGGGUGGACGGCCACAAGGGGACUGGGAUACGGCCCUUACUCCUACGGGAGGCAGCAGGG
RNAcentral lists this ribosomal RNA (264 nucleotides) under uncultured Leptotrichia sp. RNAcentral's name for it is "partial 16S ribosomal RNA". It matches the Rfam family "Bacterial small subunit ribosomal RNA", at positions 91 to 354 of the family's 1533-position model. Lineage: Bacteria; Fusobacteriati; Fusobacteriota; Fusobacteriia; Fusobacteriales; Leptotrichiaceae. The record is from RNAcentral.